This 253-nucleotide ribosomal RNA is filed under the name uncultured bacterium. RNAcentral describes it as "partial 16S ribosomal RNA". It matches the Rfam family "Bacterial small subunit ribosomal RNA", at positions 524 to 776 of the family's 1533-position model. The record is from RNAcentral.
UACGUAGGGACCAAGCGUUGUUCGGAUUUACUGGGCGUAAAGGGCGCGUAGGCGGCGUGACAAGUCACUUGUGAAAUCUCUGGGCUUAACCCAGAACGGCCAAGUGAAACUGUUGUGCUAGAGUGCAGAAGGGGCAAUCGGAAUUCUCGGUGUAGCGGUGAAAUGCGUAGAUAUCGAGAGGAACACCAGAGGUGAAGACGGGUUGCUGGGCUGACACUGACGCUGAGGCGCGAAAGCCAGGGGAGCGAACGGG